This is a long non-coding RNA of Felis catus (domestic cat), 588 nucleotides long. RefSeq lists it as uncharacterized. Lineage: Eukaryota; Metazoa; Chordata; Mammalia; Carnivora; Felidae. The record is from RefSeq and is a predicted model, not a curated record. The transcript has 2 exons.
UUAAACCAUCAGGUUCCAAAGAGAAAGAACCUUGUAUAAAUGAUCCUCUAAGCCUAAUUAAAAAUCUCUACUUCAGGAAUGCCUGGAAUCAAAUGGGAGAAAUAUUCUCUUGAGAUUUCCCCAGAGGCAGCGAAGGCCUCCCUGGUCCUCCCAGGCACAAAAGACAGCCCAGAGAACCGUUGGUGUUUCCUCUGAGACAAGCAGAUAGAGUCCAAGAUGCUCCGAAGAAUAGUGUGCGGGGUUUCAGAGCCAGGGGCAGGACUGCAGGGUGGGAAGGGCAUCUGAGAAGCCUGAGAAUAAGGACACCCCAUGUGGUGGAAGAAAGGAAAUGUGUGCCUACCCAUUUUUGCAGCUGGCCCUUUCCAUUUGCCUCACACUGGACUCUUGCAGACCCCAAGCAAAGGCAUCACAUCAAUCUGCUUGGCUUGUGUUCAAUUCCCUUUUAACUCCCCGAGCCUUAGGAGAAUCACCUUUCUGACAAGUGAAUUCAUUAAACUUCACUAAGUCUCUUUGAAAUCAUGAUUCUCCCUUUGAAAUGAUAGCCACAUUAAAGGCUAUUGUUUGGCAUUAAAGUUCAAAAAUGCAUUA